UACAGAGGUCCCGAGCGUUGUCCGGAUUGACUGGGCGUAAAGCGCACGCAGGCGGCCCGGCGCGUGGGGUGUGAAAGCUGGCGGCUUAACUGCCAGAUGCCAUCCCAUACGGCUGGGCUCGAGCCCUGCAGAGGUCCAUGGAAUUGCCGGUGUAGUGGUGAAAUGCGUAGAGAUCGGCAGGAACACCCAGGGGGAAACCAGUGGACUGGGCAGGAGGCUGACGCUGCAGGUGCGGAAAGCGUGGGGAGCGGAACCGG
Molecule: ribosomal RNA, 257 nt
Filed under: uncultured bacterium
Lineage: Bacteria
Description: partial 16S ribosomal RNA
Rfam family: Bacterial small subunit ribosomal RNA
Source: RNAcentral